CCCUGGCCCUCUCUUCUCCGGGAUGCUGAAGGUUCGCCCGGUGGCCAGCACCGGUCCAGGCUCUUGCCGCCUUCCGUGAGGCUCCGUGACCAGCCCUGGCAUGUACGGGCUCGGUCCCAGCCCCGAGACGGCACCCAGGGAGUACGGGGUGAGAAUCCCUGAGGGCGCUCGUUCAACCUUGAGCUGAAACACCAGAACAACAGAGAGCGCAGGGGUGGGGUGGCCCUGGUCAUCAACGAAAAGAUCGGAAGACAGCAGAGCCAUGAGAGGCAAGGAGAAACGCAGCUCCUUAGAAAGUUAUGGCUCAUUUGUUCGUUCAUCGAUUCAGUGAGGAUGUGUUGGGCACCCACCAUCUGCCAGGCCUGUGCAGGUGCCGGGCGCCCAGAGGGAACAGACGUGGCCCGGUUCUUCCUCCAGCAGCAACCGGCCGUUAGCAGAAACGCGGACAGAAACAAGUACAAGCAGCCGUAUGCCCAAUCAGGGUCCACUGAACUAGGCUGUCCGGUGACUUCUGCCUGUGACCCGGAAGGCCUCUCUGCCCUGAACCCCCUCCCUUGGACACCAGGGUUGGAGGAGACCCAGGUAAGCACUUUCUUCAAGAGCUCAAGGCCCUUGGGACUGAGCAGAAAAAGGGGCUUUCCAGCCAGCGGGAGGGACAAGAGGAGGACGCCCUCCUCCCGGAGGCGGGUG
Molecule: long non-coding RNA, 690 nt
Organism: Lynx canadensis (Canada lynx)
Lineage: Eukaryota; Metazoa; Chordata; Mammalia; Carnivora; Felidae
Exons: 3
Source: RefSeq, a predicted model, not a curated record